This 270-nucleotide ribosomal RNA is filed under the name uncultured bacterium. Its description in RNAcentral is "partial 16S ribosomal RNA". It matches the Rfam family "Bacterial small subunit ribosomal RNA", at positions 335 to 600 of the family's 1533-position model. The record is from RNAcentral.
ACUCCUACGGGAGGCAGCAGUGGGGAAUAUUGGACAAUGGGGGAAACCCUGAUCCAGCCAUGCCGCGUGUGUGAGAGGCCUCGGGUUGUAAAGCACUUUCAGUGGGGAGGAAAGGUUGAUGGUUAAUACCUAUCAGCUGUGACGUUACCCACAGAAGAAGCACCGGCUAACUCCGUGCCAGCAGCCGCGGUAAUACGGAGGGUGCAAGCGUUAAUCGGAAUUACUGGGCGUAAAGCGUGCGCAGGCGGUCUGUUAAGCGAGAUGUGAAAG